AUGAUGCAUCCAAUCACAAAGAUCAUAGCCGUUGUGAUCAUCUCAAUGGUUUCUGGGGCCGCCACGGGUGCUGAUCCUCAAUCUCCCUACUGCAACAUCAUCCUCGACCACUUGAACCCUUGCCUUCCCUAUAUACUUCAAGGUGAGGUGAAGCCAGCCAAGGUUUGCUGUGAUGGUGUCCUGGGCCUCACACAGUAUACAAAUGCCAAGGGAGGCCAACAAAAUAUAUGUGACUGUGUCAAGGCUGCAGCAAUUUUGAUGGGGGCACCUGUUGAUAAUUUCUCUAAGAUUUCUUCUCUUCCCAAAAGUUGUGGCCUAUCGGUCACACUUCCACCCAUCUCUAGUGGCACCGAUUGUUCCCAG
This 363-nucleotide long non-coding RNA is filed under the name Prunus dulcis (almond). RNAcentral describes it as "sRNA ncRNA". Lineage: Eukaryota; Viridiplantae; Streptophyta; Magnoliopsida; Rosales; Rosaceae. The record is from RNAcentral.